GAUUAAGAACGCAGCGAAAUGCGAUAAGUAAUGUGAAUUGCAGAAUUCAGUGAAUCAUCGAAUCUUUGAACGCACAUUGCGCCCGCCAGCACUCUGGCGGGCAUGCCUGUUCGAGCGUCAUUUCAACCAUCAAGCCCCCAGGGGCUUGUGCUGGGGCCCUGCGGCUGCCCGCAGGCCCUGAAAACCAGUGGCGGGCUCGCUAGUCACACCGAGCGCAGUAGCACAUCUCGCUCAGGGCGUGCGGCGGGCUCCUGCCGUGAAACCCCCCACUGUAACCCCAAAGGUUGACCUCGGAUCAGGUAGGAAUACCCGCUGAACUUAAGCAUAUCAAUAAGCGGAGGA
Molecule: unclassified non-coding RNA, 342 nt
Filed under: soil metagenome
Description: partial contains 5.8S ribosomal RNA, internal transcribed spacer 2, and large subunit ribosomal RNA
Rfam family: 5.8S ribosomal RNA (bases 1-120)
Source: RNAcentral